This 433-nucleotide ribosomal RNA is filed under the name uncultured bacterium. Its description in RNAcentral is "partial 16S ribosomal RNA". It matches the Rfam family "Bacterial small subunit ribosomal RNA", at positions 29 to 507 of the family's 1533-position model. The record is from RNAcentral.
AACGAACGCUGGCGGCAUGCCUAACACAUGCAAGUCGAACGAGACCUUCGGGUCUAGUGGCGCACGGGUGCGUAACGCGUGGGAACCUGCCCUUAGGUUCGGAAUAACUCCCCGAAAGGGGUGCUAAUACCGGAUAAUGUCUUCGGACCAAAGAUUUAUCGCCUUUGGAUGGGCCCGCGUUGGAUUAGCUAGUUGGUAGGGUAAAAGCCUACCAAGGCGACGAUCCAUAGCUGGUCUGAGAGGAUGAUCAGCCACACUGGGACUGAGACACGGCCCAGACUCCUACGGGAAGCAGCAGUGGGGAAUAUUGGACAGUGGGCGAAAGCCUGAUCCAGCAAUGCCGCGUGAGUGAUGAAGGCCUUAGGGUUGUAAAGCUCUUUUACCCGGGAUGAUAAUGACAGUACCGGGAGAAUAAGCUCCGGCUAACUCCGUG